AGAACCCCACCUGACCCACCCACACUGGGGGCUCUGUUCCCACAGCUCUUCAUGAUCUCACGCCUUCUAAAACCUCGCUCAGCUGAUGAAGCUAUUCAUUGAAUCAAUGAAUAUUUACUGAGUACCUACUCUGUGCCAGGCAGUAUUCCAGGGCUUGGAGAGACAUUGCUGAACAAGACAGAUGAGGGCCCUGUCUUCAUGGAGCUCACAGUCUAGUGGGGAAGGCACAGAAUCAAGAAGUGAAUAAGUAACUAAAAACUAAUCACAAAUUGUGGCAAGUGCUGAAGAGGAAAGAAACAGGAUACUCAGCGUUACAAGGAAAUGGAGACCUGGAACGUUUGAGCCAUUUGGCCAAGUCACAUGGUCUCCGAAAUGCAGCCCAGAGAGGGGAAGCAGCGAUGGCCUGCUGCAGGAGCCUCCUCACUCAGGGACCCUAGGACAGUCCUCUUUGGCUCCCCCAACCUAUGAGCCUGCGGCAGAGCCUCCAGGCCCAUGUUCAAAGGAUGACAUAACUCCCGACUCUUGAUCACCUCUGUGUGUGGAGAGCAAGUCAGGCCUCUCUCCAGCCUCACCCAGGAGUCCCAGAGAGCAGGCUGAGGGCUGGCAGCUGCUGCCCUCAGGGCAGACUCCCGCAGAGCCCCAGUCCUAACCCCGCUUACAGACCAGAUUGUCACUGCUUGCUGAGUCCUCGCUGUGCCCCCGCACUGUGCGCUCCAUGUGCAGGCCCAAGCGAGCAACCCGAUGAAGAGCAUUAUCAACCCC
Molecule: long non-coding RNA, 762 nt
Filed under: Equus caballus (horse)
Lineage: Eukaryota; Metazoa; Chordata; Mammalia; Perissodactyla; Equidae
Description: lncRNA (ENSECAG00000045577.1)
Source: RNAcentral